Molecule: long non-coding RNA, 246 nt
Organism: Boleophthalmus pectinirostris (great blue-spotted mudskipper)
Lineage: Eukaryota; Metazoa; Chordata; Actinopteri; Gobiiformes; Gobiidae
Exons: 3
Source: RefSeq, a predicted model, not a curated record
GCACGAAACAGUCCAAAGAAAGGGUCAGGUCACGGAGGCAGCAAUCUAAGCAGGGACUCCCAGACUUCCCCCACCCCAGACACUUCGUCCAGCUCUUUUGUUGGGACCCCAAGAUGUUCCUUCCUCCCGCAGUGUCUCCAGCGUCUCCGUACGUGGCCCCUCCCACCAGAGCAGCACAAAUGAAGACUUGUCUCUUUCCAAACGCUCUUAAAGGACGAUCGUUUUGACUGUUGACCGUGACACCCU